ACACAAACCCCGAGAAAGCAUUCCUGGAAAUCUCGGCCCAAAAAAGGACGUUUAGUAAUUCUAAAAGGGACUACAGGAUGAAAAACAAUAGUUUUGGCAGUUAAAGUUUGAGAUUCGAUAAUGCCGUAGAUCCGUUUGGUCAUCAGGUGUAACGAGCCACACCCAUGUCUGGUUAGAGUAGUGUGCUAGGCUCAGACUAGAUAAGAAACGGGGAACAAACUGAUGAAAGAAUGAUCAUACCGAGCGAAUUCACUCAGAACUAACAAGAAUGAUAACAUGCUCCGACUGGAGCGGUUUAGGAACUGCUGGAAGGCUCUAGGGGAAUAAAGAUGGAAUGACUUCUAAUUUUUAGGUCCGUAUGAUUUGAAAUACUUGCACACAAACCACGCGAAAGCGUUCCUGGAAAUCUCAGCCCAAAAAAGGACGUUUAGUAAUUCUAAAAGGGACUACAGGAUGAAAAACAAUAGUUUUGGCAGUUAAAGUUUGAGAUUCGACAGUGCCGUAGAUCCGUUUGGUCAUCAGGUAUUACGAGCCACACCCAUGUCUAGCUAGAAUAGUGUGCUAGGCUCAGGCUAGAGAAGAAACGGGGAACAAACUGAUGAAAGAAUGAUCAAACCGAGGGAAUUCACUCAGAACUAACAAUAAUGAUAACGUGCUCCGACUGGUGCGGUUUAGGAACUGCUGGAAGGCUCUAGGGGAAUAAAGAUGGAAUGACUUCUAAUUUUUAGGUCCGUAUGAUUUGAAAUACUUGCACACAAACCGCGCGAAAGCGUUCCUGGAAAUCUCAGCCCAAAAAAGGACGUUUAGUAAUUUUAAAAGGGACUAUAGGAUGAAAAACAAUAGUUUUGGCAAUUAAAGUUUGAGAUUCGACGGUGUCGUAGAUCCGUUUGGUCAUCAGGUGUUACGAGCCACACCCAUGUCUAGCUAGAAUAGUAUGUCAGGCUCAGGUUAGAGUAGAAACGGGGAACAAACUGAUGAAAGAAUGAUCAUACCAAGGGAAUUCACUCAGAACUAUCAAGAAUGAUAACGUGCUCCGACUGGAGUGAUUUAGGAACUGCUGGAAGGCUCUAGGGGAAUAAAGAUGGAAUGACUUCUAAUUUUUACGUCCGUAUGAUUUGAAAUACUUGCACACAAAUCACGCAAAAGCGUUCCUGGAAAUCUCAGCCUAAAAAAGGACGUUUAGUAAUUCUAAAAGGGACUACAGGAUGAAAAACAAUAGUUUGGGCAGUUAAAAUUUGAGAUUCGACGGUGCCGUAGAUCCGUUUGGUCAUCAGGUGUUACGAGCGACACCCUUGUCUAGCUAGAAUAGUGUGUUAGGCUCAGACUAGAGAAGAAACGGGGAACAAAGUGAUGAAAGAAUGAUCAUACCGAGGGAAUUCACUCAGAACUAACAAGAAUGAUAACGUGCUCCGACUGGAGCGGUUUAGUAACUGCUGGAAGGCUCUAGGGGAAUGAAGAUGGAAUGACUUCUAAUUUUUAGGUCCGUAUGAUUUGAAAUACAUGCACACAAACCCUGAGAAAGCGUUCCUGGAAAUCUCGGUCGAAAAAAGGAUGUUUAAUAAUUCUAAAAGGGACUACCGGAUGAAAAACAAUAGUUUUGGCAGUUAAAGUUUGUGAUUCGAUGGUGCCGUAGAUCUGUUUGGUCAUCAGGUGUUACGAGCCACACCCAUGUCUAUCUAGAAUAGUGUGUUAGGCUCAGGCUAGAGCAGAAACGGGGAACAGACUUAUGAAAGAAUGAUCAUACCGAGGGAAUUCACUCAGAACUAACAAGAAUGAUAACGUGCUCCGACUGGCGCGGUUUAGGAACUGCUGGAAGGCUCUAGGGGAAUAAAGAUGGAAAGACUUCUAAUUUUUAGGUCCGUAUGAUUUGAAAUACUUGCACACAAACCGCACGAAAGCGUUCCUGGAAAUCUCAGCCUAAAAAGGAUGUUUAGUAAUUCUAAAAGGGACUACAAGAUGAAAAAUAAUAGUUUGGGCAGUUAAAAUUUGAGAUUCGACGAUGCCGUAGAUCCGUUUGGUCAUCAGGUGUUAUGAGCCACACCCAUGUCUAGCUAGAAUAGUGUGUUAGGCUCAGGCUAGAGAAGAAACGGGGAACAAACUGAUGAAAGAAUGAUCAUACCGAGGGAAUUCACUCAGAACUAACAAGAAUGAUAACGUGCUCCGACUGGAGCAGUUUAGAAACUGCUGGAAGGCUCUAAUGGAAUAAAGAUGGAAUGCCUUCAAAUUUCUAGGUCCGUAUGAUUUGAAAUACUUGCACACAAACCGCUCGAAAGCGUUCCUGGAAAUCUCAGCCCAAAAAAGGACGUUUAGUAAUUCUAAAAGGGACUACAGGAUGAAAAACAAUAGUUUUGGCAGUUAAAGUUUGAGAUUCGAUGGUGCCGUAGAUCCGUUUGGUCAUCAGGUGUAACGAGCCACACACAUGUCUAGCUAGAGUAGUGUGCUAGGCUCAGACUAGAGAAGAAACGGGGAACAAAGUGAUGAAAGAAUGAUCAUACCGAGGGAAUUCACUCAGAACUUACAAGAAUGAUAACGUGCUCCGACUGGAGCGCUUUAGUAACUGCUGGAAGGCUCUAGGCGAAUAAAGAUGGAAUGACUUCUAAUUUUUAGGUCCGUAUGAUUUGAAAUACUUGCACACAAACCACGCAAAACCGUUCCUAGAAAUCUCGGUCGAAAAAAGGACGUUUAGUAAUUCUAAAAGGGACUACAGGAUGAAAAACAAUAGUUUUGGCAGUUAAAGUUUGAGAUUCGAUGGUGCCGUAGAUCCGUUUGGUCAUCAGGUGUUACGAGCCACACCCAUGUCUAGCUAGAGUAGUGUGCUAGGUUCAGACUAGAGAAGAAACGGGGAACAAAGUGAUUAAAGAAUGAUCAUACCGAGGGAAUUCACUCAGAACUAACAAGAAUGAUAACGUGCUCCGACUGGAGCGGUUUAGGAACUGCUGGAAGGCUCUAGGGGAAUAAAGAUGGAAUGACUUCUAAUUUUUACGUCCGUAUGAUUUGAAAUACAUGCACACAAACCACGCAAAAGCGUUCCUGGAAAUCUCAGCCUAAAAAAGGACGUUUAGUAAUUCUAAAAGGGACUACAGGAUGAAAAAUAAUAGUUUGGGCAGUUAAAAUUUGAGAUUCGACGCUGCCGUAGAUCCGUUUGGUCAUCAGGUCUUACGAGCCACACCCAUGUCUAGCUAGAAUAGUGUGUUAGGCUCAGGCUAGAGAAGAAACGGGGAACAAACUGAUGAAAGAAUGAUCAUACCGAGGGAAUUCACUCAGAACUAACAAGAAUGAUAACGUGCUCCGACUGGAGCAGUUUAGAAACUCCUGGAAGGCUCUAGGGGAAUAAAGAUGGAAUGACUUCAAAGUUUUAGGUCCGUAUGAUUUGAAAUACUUGCACACAAACCGCGUGAAAGCGUUCCUGGAAAUCUCAACCCAAAAAAGGGCGUUUAGUAAUUCUAAAAGGGACUACAGGAUGUAAAACAAUAGUUUUGGCAGUUAAAGUUUGAGAUUCGAUGGUGCCGUAGAUCCGUUUGGUCAUCAGGUGUAACGAGCCACACCCAUGUCUAGCUAGAGUAGUGUGCUAGGCUCAGACUAGAGAAGAAACGGGGAACAAAGUGAUGAAAGAAUGAUCAUACCGAGGGAAUUCACUCAUAACUAACAAGAAUGAUAACGUGCUCUGACUUGAGCGGUUUAGGAACUGCUGGAAGGCUAUAGGGGAAUAAAGAUGGAAUGACUUCAAAUUUUUAGGUCCGUAUGAUCUGAAAUACUUGCACACAAACCGCGAGAAAGCGUUCCUGGAAAUCUCAACCCAAAAAAGGACGUUUAGUAAUUCUAAAAGGGACUACAGGAUGAAAAACAAUAGUUCUGGCAGUUAUUGUUUGAGAUUCGAUAAUCUCGUAGAUCCGUUUGGUCAUCAGGUGUAACGAGCCACACCCAUGUCUAGCUAGAGUAGUGUGCUAGGCUCAGACUAGAGAAGAAACGGGGAACAAACUGAUGAAAGAAUGAUCAUACCGAGGGAAUUCACUUAGAACUAACAAGAAUGAUAACGUGCUCCGACUGGAGCGGUUUAGGAACUGCUGGAAGGCUCUAGGGGAAUAAAGAAGGAACGACUUCUAAUUUUUAGGUCCGUAUGAUUUGAAAUAUGUGCACACAAACCACGAGAAAGCGUUCCUAGAAAUCUCGGCCCAAAAGAGGACGUUUAGUAUUCUAAAAGGGACUACAGAAUGAAAAACAAUAGUUUUGGCAGUUAAAGUUUGAGAUUUGACGGUGCCGUAGAUCUGUUUGGUCAUCAGGGGUUACGAGCCACACCCAUGUCUAGCUAGAAUAGUGUGUUAGGCUCAGGCUAGAAAAGAAACGGGGAACAAAGUGAUGAAAGAAUGAUCAUACCGAGGGAAUUCACUCAGAACUAACAAGAAUGAUAACAUGCUCCGACUGGAGCGGUUUAGGAACUGCUGGAAGGCUCUAGGGGAAUAAAGAUGGAAUGACUUCUAAUUUUUAGGUCCGUAUGAUUUGAAAUACUUGCACACAAACCGCGCGAAAGCGUUCCUGGAAAUCUCAGCCCAAAAAAGGACGUUUAGUAAUUCUAAAAGGGACUACAGGAUGAAAAACAAUAGUUUUGGCAGUUAAAGUAUGAGAUUCAACGGUGCCGUAGAUCCGUUUGGUCAUUAGGUGUUACGAGCCACACCCAUGUCUAGCUAGAAUAGUGUGCUAGGCUCAGGCUAGAGAAGAAACGGGGAACAAACUGAUGAAAGAAUGAUCAAACCGAGGGAAUUCACUCAGAACUAACAAUAAUGAUAACGUGCUCCGACUGGAGCGGUUUAGGAACUGCUGGAAGUCUCUAGGGGAAUAAAGAUGGAAUGACUUCUAAUUUUUACGUUCGUAUGAUUUGAAAAACUUGCCCAUAAACCGCGCGAAAGUGUUCCUGGAAAUCUCAGCCCAAAAAAGGACGUUUAGUAAUUUUAAAAGGGACUACACGAUGAAAAACAAUAGUUUUGGCAGGUAAAGUUUGAGAUUCGACAGUGCCGUAGAUCCGUUUGGUCAUCAGGUGUUACGAGCCACACCCAUGUCUAGCUAGAAUAGUAUGUUACGCUCAGGUUAGAGAAGAAACGGGGAACAAACUGAUGAAAGAUGAUCAUACCAAGGGAAUUCACUCAGAACUAACAAGAAUGAUAACGUGCUCCGACUGGAGCGGUUUAGGAACUGCUGGAAGGCUCUAGGGGAAUAAAGAUGGAAUGACUUCUAAUUUUUACGUCUGUAUGAUUUGAAAUACUUGCACACAAACAACGCAAAAGCAUUCCUGGAAAUCUCAUCCUAAAAAAGGACGUUUAGUAAUUCUAAAAGGGACUACAGGAUGAAAAAUAAUAGUUUGGGAAGUUAAAAUUUGAGAUUCGAUAGUGCCGUAGAUCCGUUUGGUCAUCAGGUGUUAGGAGCCACACCCAUGUCUAGCUAGAAUAGUGUGUUAGGCUCAGGCUAGAGAAGAAACAGGGAACAAACUGAUGAAAGAAUGAUCAUACCGAGGGAAUUCACUCAGAACUAGCAAGAAUGAUAACGUGCUCCGACUGGAGCAGUUUUGAAACUGCUGGAAGGCUCUAGGGGAAUAAUGAUGGAAUGACUUCUAAGUUUUUGGUCCGUAUGAUUUGAAAUACGUGCACACAAACCCAGAGAAAGUGUUCUUGGAAAUCUCGGCCGAAAAAAGGAUGUUUAAUAAUUCUAAAAGGGACUACAGGAUGAAAAACAAUAGUUUUGGCAGUUAAAGUUUGUGAUUCGAUGGUGCUGUAGAUCUGUUUGGUCAUCAGGUGUUAUGAGCCACACCCAUGUCUAGCUAGAACAGUGUGUUAGGCUCAGGCUAGAGCAGAAACGGGGAACAAACUUAUGAAAGAAUGAUCAUACCGAGGGAAUUCACUCAGAACUAACAAGAAUGAUAACGUGCUCCGACUGGAGAGGUUUAGGAACUGCUGGAAGGCUCUAGGGGAAUAAAGAUGGAAUGACUUCAAAUUUUUAGGUCUGUAUGAUCUGAAAUACUUGCACACAAACCGCGAGAAAGCGUUCCUGGAAAUCUCAGCCCAAAAAAGGACGUUUAGUGAUUCUAAAAGGGACUACGGGAUAAAAAACAAUAGUUUUGGCAGUUAAAGUUUGAGAUUCGAUAAUGCCGUAGAUCCGUUUGGUCAUCAGGUGUAACGAGCCACACCCAUGUCUAGCUAGAGUAGUGUGCUAGGCUCAUACUAGAGAAGAAAUGGGGAACAAACUGAUGAAAGAAUGAUCAUACCGAGGGAGUUCACUCAAAACUAACAUGAAUGAUAACGUGCUCCGACUGGAGCGGUUUAGGAACUGCUGGAAGGCUCUAGGGGAAUAAAGAUGGAAUGACUUCUAAUUUUUAGGUCCGUAUGAUUUGAAAUACAUGCACACAAACCCCAAGAAAGCGUUCCUGGAAAUCUCGCCCCGAAAAACGACGUUUAGUAAUUCUAAAAGGGACUAUAGGAUGAAAAACAAUAGUUUUGGCAGUUAAAGUUUGAGAUUUGACGGUGCCGUAGAUCUGUUUGGUCAUCAGGUGUUACGAGCCACACCCAUUUCUAGCUAGAAUAGUGUGUUAGGCUCAGGCUAGAAAAGAAACGGGGAACAAAGUGAUGAAAGAAUGAUCAUACCGAGGGAAUUCACUCAGAACUAACAAGAAUGAUAACAUGGUCCGACUGGAGCGGUUUAGGAACUGCUGGAAGGCUCUAGGGGAAUAAAGAUGGAAUGACUUCUAACUUUUAGGUCCGUAUGAUUUGAAUUACUUGCACACAAACCGCGCGAAAGCGUUCCUGGAAAUCUCAGCCCAAAAAAGGACGUUUAGUAAUUCUAAAAGGGACUACAGGAUGAAAAACAAUAGUUUUGGCAGUUAAAGUUUGAGAUUCGACGGUGCCGUAGAUCCGUUUGGUCAGCAGGUGUUACGAGCCACACCCAUGUCUAGCUAGAGUAGUGUGCUAGGUUCAGACUAGAGAAGAAAUGUUGGGGAACGUAGCAGAAAUUCAAAAUUUUCCUACGUGUCACCAAGAUCUAUCUAUGGAGAGACUAGCAACGAGGGAAGGAGAGUGCAUCUACAUACCCUUGUAGAUCGCUAAGCGGAAGCGUUCAAGUGAACGGGGUUGAUGGAGUCGUACUCGUCGUGAUUCAGCUCACCGAUGAUCCUAGUGCCGAACGGACGGCACCUCCGCGUUCAACACACGUACAGCUCGACGAUGUCUCCCACGCCUUGAUCCAGCAAGGAGAGAGGGAGAGGUUGAGGAAGACUCCAUCCAGCAGAAGCACAACGGCGUGGUGGUGAUGGAGGAGCAUGGCAAUCCUGCAGGGCUUCGCCAAGCACCUAUGGGAGAGGAGGAGGUGUCACGGGAGGGAGGGAGGCGCCAAGGGCUCAGGUAUAGAUGCCCUCCCUCCCCUCCACUAUAUAUAGGGGCAAGGGAGAGGGGGGAGGCGCAGCCUUGCCCCUUCCUCCAAGGAAGGGGUGCGGCUAAGAGGGGGGGAGGAGUCCAUCCUCCCCAAGGCACCUCGGAGGUGCCUUCCCCCUUUAGGACUCUCCCCUUUUUCCUAUAUCUUGGCGCAUGGGCCUCUAGGGGCUGGUUCCCUUGGCCCAUGUAGGCCCAGGCGCACCCCCUACAGCCCAUGUGGCCCCCCGGGGCAGGUGGCCCCACCUGGUGGGCCCCCGGGACCCUUCCGGUGGUCCCGGUACAAUACCGAUGACCCCGAAACUUGUCCCGAUGGCCGAAACAGGACUUCCUAUAUAUAAAUCUUUACCUCCGGACAAUUCCGGAACUCCUCGUGACGUCCGGGAUCUCAUCCGGGACUCCGAACAACAUUCGGUAACCACAUACAAACUUCCUUUAUAACCCUAGCGUCAUCGAACCUUAAGUGUGUAGACCCUACGGGUUCGGGAGACAUGUAGUCAUGACCGAGAUGUUCUCCGGUCAAUAACCAACAGCGGGAUCUGGAUACCCAUGUUGGCUCCCACAUGUUCCACGAUGAUCUCAUCGGAUGAACCACGAUGUCAAGGACUCAAUCAAUCCCGUAUACAAUUCCCUUUGUCUAGCGGUAUGGUACUUGCCCGAGAUUCGAUCGUCGGUAUACCGAUACCUUGUUCAAUCUCGUUACCGGCAAGUCUCUUUACUCAUUUCGUAACACAUCAUCCCGUGAUCAACCCCUUGGUCACAUUGUGCACAUUAUGAUGAUGUCCUACCGAGUGGGCCCAGAGAUACCUCUCCGUUUACACGGAGUGACAAAAUCCCAAUCUCGAUUCGUGCCAACCCAACAGACACUUUCAGAGAUACCCGUAGUGUACCUUUACAGCCACCCAGUUACGUUGUGACGUUUGGCACACCCAAAGCACUCCUACAGUAUCCGGGAGUUGCACAAUCUCAUGGUCUAAGGAAAUGAUACUUGACAUUAGAAAAGCUUUAGCAUACGAACUACAUGAUCUUGUGCUAGGCUUAGGAUUGGGUCUUGUCCAUCACAUCAUUCUCCUAAUGAUGUGAUCCCGUUAUCAACGACAUCCAAUGUCCAUGGUCAGGAAACCGUAACCAUCUAUUGAUUAACGAGCUAGUCAACUAGAGGCUUACUAGGGACAUGGUGUUGUCUAUGUAUCCACACAUGUAUCUAAGUUUCCUAUCAAUACAAUUCUAGCAUGGAUAAUAAACGAUUAUCAUGAACAAGGAAAUAUAAUAAUAAUCAAUUUAUUAUUGCCUCUAGGGCAUAUUUCCAACAGUCUCCCACUUGCACUAGAGUCAAUAAUCUAGUUCACAUCGAUAUGUGAUUAACACUCAAGGUCACAUUCCCAUGUGACUAACACCCAAGAGUUUACUAGAGUCAAUAAUCUAGUUCACAUUUACCAUGUGAUUAACACUUGAUGAGUUCUGGGUUUGAUCAUGUUAUGCUUGUGAGAGAGGUUAUAGUCAACGGGUCUGAACCUUUCAGAUCCGUGUGUGCUUUACAAAUCUCUAUGUCAUCUCCUAGAUGCAGCUACCACGUUCUAUUUGGAGCUAUUCCAAAUAACUGUUCUACUUGGAGCUAUUCUAAAUUGUUGCUCCAUUAUACGUAUCCGGUAUCUCUACUCAGAGCUAUCCGGAUAGGUGUUAAGCUUGCAUCGACGUAACCCUUUACGACGAACUCUUUUACCACCUCCAUAAUUGAGAAAAUUCCUUAGUCCACUAGUUACUAAGGAUAACUUUGACCGCUGUCCUGUGAUCCAUUCUUGGAUCACUCUUGUACCCCUUGACUGACUCAUGGUAAAGCACACUUCAGGUGCGGUACACAGCAUAGCAUACUGUAGAGCCUAUGUCUUAAGCAUAGGGGACGACCUUCGUUCCUUUCUCUCUAUUCUGCCAUGGUCGAGCUUUAAGUCUUAACUUCAUACCUUACAACUCAGGCAAGAACUCCUUCUUUGACUGAUCCAUCUUGAACACCUUCAAGAUCACGUCAAGGCAUGUGCUCACGUCAAGAUCACGUCGGUAUACCGAUACCUUGUUCAAUCUCGUUACCGGCAAGUCUCUUUACUCGUUCCGUAACACAUCAUCCCGUGAUCAACCCCUUGGUCACAUUGUGCACAUUAUGAUGAUGUCCUACCGAGUGGGCCCAGAGAUACCUCUCCGUUUACACGGAGUGACAAAAUCCCAAUCUCGAUUCGUGCCAACCCAACAGACACUUUCAGAGAUACCCGUAGUGUACCUUUAUAGCCACCCAGUUACGUUGUGACGUUUGGCACACCCAAAGCACUCCUACGGUAUCCGGGAGUUGCACAAUCUCAUGGUCUAAGGAAAUGAUACUUGACAUUAGAAAAGCUUUAGCAUACGAACUACAUGAUCUUGUGCUAGGCUUAGGAUUGGGUCUUGUCCAUCACAUCAUUCUCCUAAUGAUGUGAUCCCGUUAUCAACGACAUCCAAUGUCCAUGGUCAGGAAACCGUAACCAUCUAUUGAUUAACGAGCCAGUCAACUAGAGGCUUACUAGGGACAUGGUGUUGUCUAUGUAUCCACACAUGUAUCUGAGUUUCCUAUCAAUACAAUUCUAGCAUGGAUAAUAAACGAUUAUCAUGAACAAGGAAAUAUAAUAAUAAUCAAUUUAUUAUUGCCUCUAGGGCAUAUUUCCAACAGUCUCCCACUUGCACUAGAGUCAAUAAUCUAGUUCACAUCACCAUGUGAUUAACACUGACAGGUCACAUCACCAUGUGACCAACAUCCAAAGAGUCUUGGGUUUGAUCAUGUUGCUUGUGAGAGAGGUUAUAGUCAACGGGUCUGAACCUUUCAGAUCCGUGUGUGCUUUACAAAUCUCUAUGUCAUCUCCUAGAUGCAGCUACCACGUUCUAUUUGGAGCUAUUCCAAAUAACUGUUCUACUUGGAGCUAUUCUAAAUUGUUGCUCCAUUAUACGUAUCCGGUAUCUCUACUCAGAGCUAUCCGGAUAGGUGUUAAGCUUGCAUCGACGUAACCCUUUACGACGAACUCUUUUACCACCUCCAUAAUUGAGAAAAUUCCUUAGUCCACUAGUUACUAAGGAUAACUUUGACCGCUGUCCUGCGAUCCAUUCUUGGAUCACCCUUGUACCCCUUGACUGACUCAUGGUAAAGCACACUUCAGGUGCGGUACACAGCAUAGCAUACUGUAGAGCCUAUGUCUUAAGCAUAGGGGAUGACCUUCGUUCCUUUCUCUCUAUUCUGCCAUGGUCGAGCUUUAAGUCUUAACUUCAUACCUUACAACUCAGGCAAGAACUCCUUCUUUGACUGGUCCAUCUUGAACACCUUCAAGAUCAUGUCAAGGUAUGUGCUCAUUUGAAAGUACUAUUAAGCGUUUUGAUCUAUCCUUAUAGAUCUUGAUGCUCAAUGUUCAAGUAGCUUAAUCCAGGUUUUCCAUUGAAAACACUUUCCAAAUAACCCUAUAUGCUUUCCAGAAAUUCUACGUCAUUUCUGAUCAUUAAUAUGUCAACAACAUAUAAUCAUCAGAAAUUCUAUAGUGCUCCCACUCACUUCUUUGGAAAUACAAGUUUCUCAUAAACUUUGUAUACACCCAAAAUCUUUGAUCAUCAUCAAAGCAUACAUUCCAACUCCGAGAUGCUCACUCCAGUCCUCAGAAGGAUUGCUGGAGCUUUGCAUACUUAUUAGCAUAUUUCAGGAUAGACAAAACCUUCCAGUUGUAUCACAUACAACCUUUCCUCAAGAAUCGUCGACGAAACAAUGUUUUGACAUCCUAUCUGCAAGAUUUCAUAAAUAAUGCAGUAAUUGUUAAUAUAAUUCCAACAGACUCUUAGCAUCGCUACGAGUGAGAAAGUCUCAUUGUAGUCAACUCCUUGAACUUGUCAAAAAACAUCUUAACGACAAGUCGAGCUUUCUCAAUGGUGACACUUACCAUCAUUGUCUGUCUUCCUUUCAAAAUCCAUAUGUACCUAACAGCCUUACGACCAUCAAGUAGUUCUUCCAAAGUCUACACUUUGUUUUCAUACAUGGAUCCUCUCUCGGGUUUUAUGGCCAUGAGCCAUUUAUCGGAAUCCGGGCCCACCAUUGCUUCUCCAUAGCUCGUAGGUUCAUUGUUGUCUAGCAACAUGACUUCCAAGACAGGAUUACUGUACCACUCUGAAGUAGUACGUAUCCUUGUCACCCUACGAGGUUUGGGAGUGACUUGAUCUGAAGUUUCAUGAUCACUAUCAUAAGCUUCUACUUCAAUUGGUGUAGGUGCCACAGGAACAACUUCCUGUGCCCUGCUACACACUGGUUGAAGUGAUGGUUCAAUAACCUCAUCAAGUCUCCACCAUCCUCCCACUCAAUUCUUUCGAGAGAAACCUUUCCUCGAGAAAGGACCCAAUUCUAGAAACAAUUCAUAUUGCUUUCGGAUCUGAAUUAGGAAGUAUACCCAACUGUUUUGGGUGUCCUAUGAAGAUGUACUUUAUCCGCUUUGGUUUCGAGCUUAAUCCUGAAACUUUUUCACAUAAGUGUCGCAGCCCCAAACCUUUAAGAAACGACAACUUAGGUUUCUCUAAACCAUAAUUCAUACGGUGUCAUCUCAUCGGAAUUACGUGGUGCCCUAUUUAAAGUGAAUGUGGUUGUCUUUAAUGCCUAACCCAUAAACUAUCGUGGCAGUUCGAUAAGAGACAUCAUGGUAUGCAUCAUAUCCAAUAGGGUGCAACUAUGAUGUUCGGACACACCAUCACACUAUGGUGUUCCAGGCGGUAUUAAUUGUGAAACAAUUUCCACAAUGUCUUAAUUGUGUGCCAAAACUCGUAACUCAGAUACUCAUCUCUAUGAUCAUAUCAUAGACAUUUUAUCCUCUUGUCACAAUGAUCUUCUACUUCACUCUGAAAUUACUUGAACCAUUCAACAAUUCAGACUUGUGUUUCAUCAAGUAAAUAUUCUCAACAUCUACUCGAAUCAUCUGUGAAGUAAGAACAUAACGAUAUUCACUGCAUGCCUCAGCACUCAUUGGACUGCACACAUCAAAAUGUGUUACUUCCAACAAGUUGCUAUCUUGUUCCAUCUUACUGAAAACGAGGCUUUUCAGUCAUCUUGCCCAUGUGGUAUGAUUUGCAUGUCCCAAGUGAUUCAAAAAUCAAGUGAGUCAAAACGGUCCAUUUGCAUGGAGUUUCUUCAUGCAUAUACACCAAUAGACAUGGUUCGCAUGUCUCAAACUUUUCAAAAACGAGUGAGCCCAAAGAUCCAUCAAUAUGGAGCUUCUUCAUGCGUUUUAUACCGAUAUGACUUACGUGGUAGUGCCACAAGUAGGUGGUACUAUCAUUACUAUCUUUUGGCAUGAACAUGUGUAUCACUACGAUCGAGAUUUAAUAAACCAUUCAUUUUAGGUGUAAGACCAUUGAAGGUAUUAUUCAAAUAAACAGAGUAACCAUUAUUCUCCUUAAAUGAAUAACCGUAUUGCGAUAGACGUAAUCCAAUCAUGUCUAUGCUCAACGCAAACACCAAAUAACAAUUAUUUAGGUUUAACACCAAUCUCUUUGGUAGAGGGAGCGUGCGAUGCUUGAUCAUAUCAAGCAUGGAAAAACUUACAACACAUAUCGUCAGCUCACCUUUAGCUAGUCUCUGUUUAUUCCGUAGCCUUUUGUUUCGAGUUACUAACACUUAGCAACCGAACUGGUAUCUAAUACCCUGGUGCUACUAGGAGUACUAGCAAAGUACACAUUAACACAAUGUAUAUCCAAUAUACUUCUAUCGACCUUGCCAGCCUUCUUAUCUACCAAGUAUCUAGGGUAAUUCUGCUCUAGUAGUUGUUCCCCUUAUUACAGAAGCACUUAGUCUCGGGUUUGGGUUUUACCUUGGGUUUCUUCACUAGAGCAGCAGCUGAUUUGCCGUUUCAUGAAGUAUCCCUUCUUGCCCUUGCCCUUCUUGAAACUAGUGGUUCCACCAACCAUCAACAAUUGAUGCUCCUUCUUGAUUUCUACUUUCGCGGUGUCAAACAUCGCGAAUACCUCAAGGAUCAUCAUAUCUAUCCCUGAUAUGUUAUAGUUCAUCAUGAAGCUCUAACAGCUUGGUGGCAAUGACUUUGGAGAACCAUCACUAUCUCAUCUGGAAGAUCAACUCCCACUCGAUUCAAGCGAUUGUUGUACUCAGACAAUCUGAGCACAAGCUCAACGAUUGAGCUUUUCUCCCUUAGUUUGCAGGUUAAGAAAGUCAUCGGAGGUCUUAUACCUCUUGACAUGGGCACGAGCCUGAAAUCCCAAUUUCAGCCCUCAAAACAUCUCAUAUGUUUCGCGAUGUUUCAAAAACGUCUUUGGUGCCUCAACUCUAAACCGUUUAACUGAACUAUCACGUAGUUAUCAAAACGUGUAUGUCAGAUGUUCGCAACAACCACAGACAACGUUCGAGGUUCAGCACACUGAGCGGUGCAUUAAGGACAUAAGCCUUCUAUGAAGCAAUGAGGACAAUCCUCAGUUUACGGACCUAGUCCGCAUAAUUGCUACUAUCAACUUUCAACUAAUUUUUCUCUAGGAACAUAUCUAAACAGUAGAACUAUAGCGUGAGCUACGACAUAAUUUGCAAAAACCUUUUGACUAUGUUCAGGAUAAUUAAGUUCAUCUUAUGAACUCCCACUCAGAUAGACAUCCCUCUAGUCAUCUAAGUGAUUACAUGAUCCGAGUCAAACUAGGCCGUGUCCGAUCAUCACGUGAGACGGACUAGUCAUCAUCGGUGAACAUCUUCAUGUUGAUCGUAUCUUCUAUACGACUCAUGUUCGACCUUUCGGUCUUCGUGUUCCGAGGCCAUGUAUGUACAUGCUAGGCUCGUCAAGUUAACCCUAAGUGUUUCGCGUGUGUAAAUCUGUCUUACACCCGUUGUAUGUGAACGUUAGAAUCUAACACCCGAUCAUCACGUGGUGCUUCGAAACACGAACUGUCGCAACGGUGCACAGUUAGGGGAGAACACUUCUUGAAAUUGUUGUAAGGGAUCAUCUUAUUUACUACCGUCGUUCUAAGCAAAUAAGAUGUAUAAACAUGAUAAACAUCACAUGCAAUCAAAUAGUGACAUGAUAUGGCCAUCAUCACUUUGCUCCUUUUGAUCUCCAUCUUCGGGGCUCCAUGAUCAUCAUCGUCACCGGCAUGACACCAUGAUCUCCAUCAUCAUGAUCUCCAUCAUCGUGUCUUCAUGAAGUUGCCUCGCCAACUAUUACUUCUACUACUAUGGCUAACGGUUAGCAAUAAAGUAAAGUAAUUACAUGACGUUUAAGUUGACACGCAGGUCACAAAUGAAUAAAGACAACUCCUAUGGCUCCUGCCGGUUGUCAUACUCAUCGACAUGCAAGUCGUGAUUCCUAUUACAAGAACAUGAUCAAUCUCAUACAUCACAUAUAUCAUUCAUCACAUCCUUUUUGGCCAUAUCACAUCACAUAGCAUACCCUGCAAAAACAAGUUAGACGUCCUCUAAUUGUUGUUUGCAUGUUUUACGUGGCUGCUAUGGGUUUCUAGCAAGAACGUUUCUUACCUACGCAUGAACAACAACGUGAUAUGCCAAUUGCUAUUUACCCUUCAUAAGGACCCUUUUCAUCGAAUCCGAUCCGACUAAAGUGGGAGAGACAGACACCCGCCAGCCACCUUAUGCAACUAGUGCAUGUUUGUCGGUGGAACCGGUCUCACGUAAGCGUACGUGUAAGGUUGGUCCGGGCCGCUUCAUCCCACGAUGCCGCCGAAUCAAGAUAAGACUAGUAACGGCAAGCAUAUUGAACAAUAUCAACGCCCACAACUACUUUGUGUUCUACUCGUGCAAAGAAUCUACGCAAUAGACCUAGCUCAUGAUGCCACUGUUGGGGAACGUAGCAGAAAUUCAAAAUUUUCCUACGUGUCACCAAGAUCUAUCUAUGGAGAUACUAGCAACGAGGGAAGGAGAGUGCAUCUACAUACCCUUGUAGAUCGCUAAGCGGAAGCGUUCAAGUGAACGGGGUUGAUGGAGUCGUACUCGUCGUGAUUCAGAUCACCGAUGAUCCUAGUGCCGAACGGACGGCACCUCCGCGUUCAACACACGUACAGCUCGACGAUGUCUCCCACGCCUUGAUCCAGCAAGGAGAGAGGGAGAGGUUGAGGAAGACUCCAUCCAGCAGCAGCACAACGGCGUGGUGGUGAUGGAGGAGCGUGGCAAUCCUGCAGGGCUUCGCCAAGCACCUACGGGAGAGGAGGAGGUGUCACGGGAGGGAGGGAGGCGCCAAGGGCUCAGGUAUAGAUGCCCUCCCUCCCCUCCACUAUAUAUAGGGGCAAGGGAGAGGGGGAGGCGCAUCCUUGCCCCUUCCUCCAAGGAAGGGGUGCGGCUAAGAGGGGGGGAGGAGUCCAUCCUCCCCAAGGCACCUCGGAGGUGCCUUCCCCCUUUAGGACUCUCCCCUUUUUCCUAUAUCUUGGCGCAUGGGCCUCUAGGGGCUGGUGCCCUUGGCCCAUGUAGGCCAAGGCGCACCCCCCUACAGCCCAUGUGGCCCCCCGGGGCAGGUGGCCCCACCCGGUGGGCCCCCGGGACCCUUCCGGUGGUCCCGGUACAAUACCGAUGACCCCGAAACUUGUCCCGAUGGCCGAAACAGGACUUCCUAUAUAUAAAUCUUUACCUCCGGACCAUUCCGGAACUCCUCGUGACGUCCGGGAUCUCAUCCGGGACUCCGAACAACAUUCGGUAACCACAUACAAACUUCCUUUAUAACCCUAGCGUCAUCGAACCUUAAGUGUGUAGACCCUACGGGUUCGGGAGACAUGUAGUCAUGACCGAGAUGUUCUCCGGUCAAUAACCAACAGCGGGAUCUGGAUACCCAUGUUGGCUCGCACAUGUUCCACGAUGAUCUCAUCGGAUGAACCACGAUGUCAAGGACUCAAUCAAUCCCGUAUACAAUUCCCUUUGUCUAGCGGUAUGGUACUUGCCCGAGAUUCGAUCGUCGGUAUACCGAUACCUUGUUCAAUCUCGUUACCGGCAAGCCUCUUUACUCGUUCCGUAACACAUCAUCCCGUGAUCAACCCCUUGGUCACAUUGUGCACAUUAUGAUGAUGUCCUACCGAGUGGGCCCAGAGAUACCUCUCCGUUUACACGGAGUGACAAAAUCCCAAUCUCGAUUCGUGCCAACCCAACAGACACUUUCAGAGAUACCCGUAGUGUACCUUUAUAGCCACCCAGUUACGUUGUGACGUUUGGCACACCCAAAGCACUCCUACGGUAUCCGGGAGUUGCACAAUCUCAUGGUCUAAGGAAAUGAUACUUGACAUUAGAAAAGCUUUAGCAUACGAACUACAUGAUCUUGUGCUAGGCUUAGNNNNNNNNNNUGAUCAACCCCUUGGUCACAUUGUGCACAUUAUGAUGAUGUCCUACCGAGUGGGCCCAGAGAUACCUCUCCGUUUACACGGAGUGACAAAAUCCCAAUCUCGAUUCGUGCCAACCCAACAGACAUUUUCAGAGAUACCCGUAGUGUACCUUUAUAGCCACCCAGUUACGUUGUGACGUUUGGCACACCCAAAGCACUCCUACGGUAUCCGGGAGUUGCACAAUCUCAUGGUCUAAGGAAAUGAUACUUGACAUUAGAAAAGCUUUAGCAUACGAACUACAUGAUCUUGUGCUAGGCUUAGGAUUGGGUCUUGUCCAUCACAUCAUUCUCCUAAUGAUGUGAUCCCGUUAUCAACGACAUCCAAUGUCCAUGGUCAGGAAACCGUAACCAUCUAUUGAUUAACGAGCUAGUCAACUAGAGGCUUACUAGGGACAUGGUGUUGUCUAUGUAUCCACACAUGUAUCUGAGUUUCCUAUCAAUACAAUUCUAGCAUGGAUAAUAAACGAUUAUCAUGAACAAGGAAAUAUAAUAAUAAUCAAUUUAUUAUUGCCUCUAGGGCAUAUUUCCAACAAGAAACGGGGAACAAACUGAUGAAAGAAUGAUCAUACCGAGGGAAUUCACUCAGAACUAACAAGAAUGAUAACGUGCUUUGACUGGAGCGGUUUAAAAACUGCUGGAAGGCUCUAGGGGAAUAAAGAUGGAAUGCCUUCAAAUUUCUAGGUCCGUAUGAUUUGAAAUACUUGCACACAAACCGCGCGAAAGCGUUCCUGGAAAUCUCAGCCCAAAAAAGGACGUUUAGUAAUUCUAAAAGGGACUACAGAAUGAAAAACAAUAGUUUUGGCAGUUAAAGUUUGAGAUUCGAUGGUGCCGUAGAUCCGUUUGGUCAUCAGGUGUAACGAGCCACACCCAUGUCUAGCUAGAGUAGUGUGCUAGGCUCAGGCUAGAGAAGAAACGGGGAACAAACUGAUGAAAGAAUGAUCAUACCGAGGGAAUUCACUCAGAACUAACAAGAAUGAUAACGUGCUCCGACUGGAGCGGUUUAGGAACUGCUGGAAGGCUCUAGGGGAAGAAAGAAGGAAUGACUUCUAAUUUUUAGGUCCGUAUGAUUUGAAAUACGUGCACACAAACCGCGCGAAAGCGUUCCUGGAAAUCUCAGCCCAAAAAAGGACGUUUAGUAUUCUAAAAGGGACUACAGAAUGAAAAACAAUAGUUUUGGCAGUUAAAGUUUGAGAUUCGACGGUGCCGUAGAUCCGUUUGGUCAUCAGGUGUUACGAGCCACACCCAUGUCUAGCUAGAAUAGUGUGCNNNNNNNNNNNNNNNNNNNNNNNNNCGUAUGAUUUGAAAUACGUGCACACAAACCGCGCGAAAGCGUUCCUGGAAAUCUCAGCCCAAAAAAGGACGUUUAGUAUUCUAAAAGGGACUACAGAAUGAAAAACAAUAGUUUUGGCAGUUAAAGUUUGAGAUUCGACGGUGCUGUAGAUCCGUUUGGUCAUCAGGUGUUACGAGCCACACCCAUGUCUAGCUAGAAUAGUGUGCUAGGCUCAGGCUAGAGAAGAAAAGGGGAACAAACUAAUGAAAGAAUGAUCAAUACGAGGGAAUUCACUCAGAACUAACAAUAAUGAUAACGUGCUCCGACUGGAGCGGUUUAGGAACUGCUGGAAGGCUCUAGGCGAAUAAAGAUGGAAUGACUUCUAAUUUUUACGUCCGUAUGAUUUGAAAUACUUGCACACAAACCACGCAAAAGCGUUCCUGGAAAUCUCGGCCUAAAAAGGACGUUUAGUAAUUCUAAAAGGGACUACAGGAUGAAAAAUAAUAGUUUGGGCAGUUAAAAUUUGAGAUUCGACGGUGCCGUAGAUCCGUUUGGUCAUCAGGUGUUACGAGCCACACCCAUGUCUAGCUAGAAUAGUGUGUUAGGCUCAGGCUAGAGAAGAAACGAGGAACAAACUGAUGAAAGAAUGAUCAUACCAAGGGAAUUCACUCAGAACUAACAAGAAUGAUAACGUGCUCCGACUGGAGCAGUUUAGAAACUGCUGGAAGGCUCUAGGGGAAUAAAGAUGGAAUGACUUCUGAUUUUUAGGUCCGUAUGAUUUGAAAUACGUGCACACAAACCCCGCGAAAGCGUUCCUGGAAAUCUCAGCCCAAAAAAGGACGUUUAGUAAUUCUAAAAGGGACUACAACAUGAAAAACAAUAGUUUUGGCAGUUAAAGUUUGAGAUUUCAUGGUGCCGUAGAUCUGUUUGGUCAUCAGGUGUUACGAGCCACACCCAUGUCUAGCUAGAAUAGUGUGUUAGGCUCAGGCUAGAAAAGAAACGGGAAACAAAGUGAUGAAAGAAUGACCAUACCGAGGGAAUUCACUCAGAACUAACAAGAAUGAUAACAUGCUCCGACUUGAGCGGUUUAGGAACUGCUGGAAGGCUCUAGGGGAAUAAAGAUGGAAUGACUUCUAAUGUUUAGGUCCGUAUGAUUUGAAAUACUUGCACAUAAACCGCACAAAAGCGUUCCUGGAAAUCUCAGCCCAAAAAAGGACGUUUAGUAAUUCUAAAAGGGACUACAGGAUGAAAAACAAUAGUUUUGGCAGUUAAAGUUUGAGAUUCGACGGUGCCGUAGAUCCGUUUGGUCAUCAGGUGUUACGAGCCACACCCAUGUCUAGCUAGAAUAGUGUGUUAGGCUCAGGCUAGAGAAGAAACUUGGAACAAACUGAUGAAAGAAUGAUCAAACCAACGGAAUUCACUCAGAACUAACAAUAAUGAUAACGUGCUCCGACUGGAGCAGUUUAGGAACUGCUGGAAGGCUCUAGGGGAAUAAAGAUGGAAUGACUUCUAAUUUUUAGGUCCGUAUGAUUUGAAAUACUUGCACGCAAACCGCGCGAAAGCGUUCCUGGAAAUAUCAGCCCAAAAAAGGACGUUUAGUAAUUCUAAAAGGGACUACAGGAUGAAAACAAUAGUUUUGGCAGUUAAAGUUUGAGAUUCAACAGUGCCGUAGAUCCGUUUGGUCAUCAGGUGUUAUGAGCCAUACCCAUGUCUAGCUAGAGUAGUGUGCUAGGCUCAGGCUAGAGAAGAAACAGGGAACAAACUGAUGAAAGAAUGAUCAUACCGAGGGAAUUCACUCAGAACUAACAAGAAUGAUAACGUGCUCCGACUGGAGCGGUUUAGGAACUGCUGGAAGGCUCUAGGGGAAUAAAGAUGGAGUGACUUCUAAAUUUUUAGGUCCGUAUGAUUUAAAAUACUUGCACACAAACCGCACGAAAGCGUUCCUUGAAAUCUCAGCCCAAAAAAGGACGUUUAGUAAGUCUAAAAGGGACUAUAGGAUGAAAAACAAUAGUUUUGGCAGUUAAAGUUUGAGAUUCGAUGGUGCCGUAGAUCUGUUUGGUCAUCAGGUGUUACGAGCCACACCCAUGUCUAGUUGGAAUAGUGUGCUAGGCUCAGACUAGAGAAGAAACAGGGAACAAACUGAUGAAAGAAUGAUCAAACCGAGGAAAUUCACUCAGAACUAACAAUAAUGAUAACAUGCUCCGACUGGAGCGGUUUAGGAACUGCUGGAAGGCUCUAGGGGAAUAAAGAUGGAAUGACUUCUAAAUUUUUAGGUCCGUAUGAUUUGAAAUAGUUGCACACAAACUGCGCGAAAGCGUUCCUGGAAAUCUCAGCCCAAAAAAGGACGUUUAGUAAUUCUAAAAGGGACUAUAGGAUGAAAAACAAUAGUUUUGGCAGUUAAAGUUUGAGAUUCGACGGUGCCGUAGAUCCGUUUGGUCAUCACGUGUUACAAGCCACACCCAUGUCUAGCUAGAGUAGUGUGCUAGGCUCAGACUAUAGAAGAAACGGGGACCAAACUGAUGAAAGAAUGAUCAAACCGAGGAAAUUCACUCAGAACUAACAAUAAUGAUAACAUGCUCCGACUGGAGCGGUUUAGGAACUACUGGAAGGCUCUAGGGGAAUAAAGAUGGAAUGACUUCUAAAUUUUUAGGUCCGUAUGAUUUUAAAUAGUUGCACACAAACUGCGCGAAAGCGUUCCUGGAAAUCUCAGCCCAAAAAAGGACGUUUAGUAAUUCUAAAAGGGACUACAGGAUGAAAAACAAUAGUUUGGGCAGUUAAAAUUUGAGAUUCGACGGUGCCGUAGAUCCGUUUGGUCAUCAGGUGUUACGAGCCACACCCAUGUCUAGCUAGAGUAGUGUGCUAGGCUCAGGCUAGAGAAGAAACAGGGAACAAACUGAUGAAAGAAUGAUCAUACCGAGGGAAUUCACUCAGAACUAACAAGAAUGAUAACGUGCUCUGACUGGAGCGGUUUAAGAACUGUUGGAAGGCUCUAGGGGAAUAAAGAUGGAAUCACUUCAAAUUUUUACGUCCGUGUGAUUUGAAAUACUUGCACACAAACCGCACGAAAGCGUUCCUGGAAAUCUCAGCCCAAAAAAGGACGUUUAGUAAGUCUAAAAGGGACUACACGAUGAAAAACAAUAGUUUUGGCAGUUAAAGUUUGAGAUUCGACAGUGCCGUAGAUCCGUUUGGUCAUCAGGUGUAACGAGCCACACCCAUGUCUAGAUAGAGUAGUGUGCUAGGCUCAAACUAGAGAAGAAACGGGGAACAAACUGAUGAAAGAAUGAUCAUACCGAGGGAAUUCACUCAGAAAUAACAAGAAUGAUAACGUGCUCUGACUGGAGCGGUUUAGGAACUGCUGGAAGGCUCUAGGGGAAUAAAGAAGGAAUGACUUCUAAUUUUUAGGUCCGUAUGAUUUGAAAUACGUGCACACAAACCCCGAGAAAGCGUUCCUGGAAAUCUCGACCCAAAAAAGGACGUUUAGUAAUUCUAAAAGGGACUACGGGAUGAAAAACAAUAGUUUUGGCAGUUAAAGUUUGAGAUUCGAUAAUGCCGUAGAUCCAUUUGGUCAUCAGGUGUAACGAGCCACACCCAUGUCUAGCUAGAGUAGUGUGCUAGGCUCAGACUAGAGAAGAAACAGGGAACAAACUGAUGAAAGAAUGAUCAUAUCGAGGGAAUUCACUCAGAACUAACAAGAAUGAUAACAUGCUCCGACUUGAGCGGUUUAGGAACUGCUGGAAGGCUCUAGGGGAAUAAAGAUGGAAUGACUUCUAAUUUUUAGGUCCGUAUGAUUUGAAAUACUUACACACAAACCACGCGAAAGCGUUCCUGGAAAUCUCAGCCCAAAAAAGGACGUUUAGUAAUUCUAAAAGGGACUACAUGAUGAAAAACAAUAGUUUUCGCAGUUAAAGUUUGAGAUUCGACGGUGCCGUAGAUCCGUUUGGUCAUCAAGUGUUACGAGCCACACCCAUGUCUAGCUAGAAUAGUGUGUUAGGCUCAGCCUAGAGAAGAAACGGGGAACAAACUGAUGAAAGAAUGAUCAUACCGAGGGAAUUCACUCAGAACUUACAAGAAUGAUAACGUGCUCCGACUUGAGCGGUUUAAGAACUGUUGGAAGGCUCUAGGGGAAUAAAGAUGGAAUCACUUCAAAUUUUUACGUCCGUGUGAUUUGAAAUACUUGCACACAAACCCCGAGAAAGCGUUCCUGGAAAUCUCGGCCGAAAAAAGGAUGUUUAAUAAUUCUAAAAGGGACUACAGGAUGAAAAACAAUAGCUUUGGCAGUUAAAGUUUGUGAUUCGAUGGUGCCGUAGAUCUGUUUGGUCAUCAGGUGUUAUGAGCCACACCCAUGUCUAGCUAGAAUAGUGUGUUAGGCUCAGGCUAGAGCAGAAACUAGGAACAAACUUAUGAAAGAAUGAUCAUACCGAGGGAAUUCACUCAGAACUAACAAGAAUGAUAACGUGCUCCGACUGGAGCGGUUUAGGAACUGCUGGAAGGCUCUAGGGGAAUAAAGAUGGAAUGACUUCUAAUUUUUAGGUCCGUAUGAUUUGAAAUACAUGCACACAAACCCCAAGAAAGCGUUCCUAGAAAUCUCAGCCCAAAAAGGACGUUUAGUAAUUCUAAAAGGGACUACAGGAUGAAAAACAAUAGGUUUGGCAGUUAAAGUUUGAGAUUCGAUAAUGCCGUAGAUCCGUUUGGUCAUCAGGUGUAACGAGCCACACCCAUGUCUAGCUACAUUAGUGUGCUAGGCUCAGACUAGAGAAGAAACGGGGAACAAACUGAUGAAAGAAUGAUCAUACCGAGGGAAUUCACUCAGAACUAACAAGAACGAUAACAUGCUCCGACUGCAGCGGUUUAGGAACUGCUGGAAGGCUCUAGGGGAAUAAAGAAGGAAUGACUUCUAAUUUUUAGGUCCGUAUGAUUUGAAAUACUUGCACACAAACCGCGCGAAAGCAUUCCUGGAAAUCUCAGCCCAAAAAAGGACGUUUAGUAAUUCUAAAAGGGACUACAGGAUGAAAAACAAUAAUUUUGGCAGUUAAAGUUUGAGAUUCGACGGUGCCGUAGAUCCGUUUGGUCAUCAGGUGUUACGGGCCAUACCCAUGUCUAGCUAGAAUAGUGUGUUAGGCUCAGGUUAGAGAAGAAACGGGGAACAAAGUGAUGAAAGAAUGAUCAUACCGAGGGAAUUCACUCAGAACUAACAAGAAUGAUAACGUGCUCCGACUGGAGCGGUUUAGGAAUUGCUGGAAGGCUCUAGGGGAAUAAAGAUGGAAUGACUUCUAUAUUUUACGUCCGUAUGAUUUGAAAUACUUGCACACAAACCACGCAAAAGCACUCCUGGAAAUAUCAGCCUAAAAAGGAUGUUUAGUAAUUCUAAAAGGGACUACAGGAUGAAAAAUAAUAGUUUUGGCAGUUAAAAUUUGAGAUUCAACGGUGCCGUAAAUCCGUUUGGUCAUCAGGUGUUACGAGCCACACCCAUGUCUAGCUAGAAUAGUGUGUUAGGCUCAGGUUAGAGAAGAAACGGGGAACAAACUGAUGAAAGAAUGAUCAUACAAGGGGAAUUCACUCAGAACUAUCAAGAAUGAUAACGUGCUCCGACUGGAGCAGUUUAGGAACUGCCGGAAGGCUCUAGGGGAAUAAAGAUGGAAUGACUUCUAAUUUUUAUGUCCGUAUGAUUUGAAAUACUUGCACACAAACCACGCAAAAGCGUUCCUGGAAAUCUCAGCCUAAAAAGGACGUUUAGUAAUUCUAAAAGGGACUACAGGAUGAAAAACAAUAGUUUGGGCAGUUAAAAUUCGAGAUUCGACGGUGCCGUAGAUCCGUUUGGUCAUCAGGUGUUACGAGCCACACCCAUGUCUAGCUAGAAUAGUGUGUUAGGCUCAGGCUAGAGAAGAAACGGGGAACAAACUGAUGAAAGAAUGAUCAUAUCGAGGGAAUUCACUCAGAACUAACAAGAAUGAUAACGUGCUCCGACUGGAGCGGUUUAGUAACUGCUGGAAGGCUCUAGGGGAAUAAAGAUGGAAUGACUUCUAAUUAUUAGGUCCGUAAGAUUUGAAUUACAUGCACACAAACCCCGAGAAAGCGUUCCUGGAAAUCUCGGUCGAAAAAAGGAUGUUUAGUAAUUCUAAAAGGGACUACAGGAUGAAAAACAAUAGUUUUGGCAGUUAAAGUUUGUGAUUCGAUGGUGCCGUAGAUCUGUUUGGUCAUCAGGUGUUACGAGCCACACCCAUGUCUAGCUAGAAUAGUGUGUUAGGCUCAGGCUAGAGCAGAAACGGGGAACAAACUUAUGAAAGAAUGAUCAUGCCGAGGGAAUUCACUCAGAACUAACAAGAAUGAUAACGUGCUCCGACUGGAGCGGUUUAGGAACUGCUGGAAGGCUCUAGGGGAAUAAAGAUGGAAUGACAUCAAAUUUUUAGGUCCGUAUGAUUUGAAAUACUUGCACACAAACCGCAAGAAAGCGUUCUUGGAAAUCUCCGCCCAAAAAAGGACGUUUAGUAAUUCUAAAAGGGUCUACAGGAUGAAAAACAAUAGUUCUGGCAGUUAAAGUUUGAGAUUCGAUAAUGUCGUAGAUCCGUUUGGUCAUCAGGCGUAACGAGCCACACCCAUUUCUAGCUAGAGUAGUGUGCUAGGCUCAGACUAGAGAAGAAACGGGGAACAACCUGAUGAAAGAAUGAUCAUACCGAGGGAAUUCACUCAGAACUAACAAGAAUGAUAACGUGCUCCGACUGGAGCGGUUUAGGAACUGCUGGAAGGCUCUACGGGAAUAAAGAAGGAAUGACUUCUAAUUUUUAGGUCCGUAUGAUUUGAAAUACGUGCACACAAACCCCGAGAAAGCGUUCCUGGAAAUCUCGGCCCAAAAAAGGACGUUUAGUAUUCUAAAAGCGACUACAGAAUGAAAAACAAUAGUUUUGGUAGUUAAAGUUUGAGAUUUAACGGUGCCGUAGAUCUGUUUGGUCAUCAGGUGUUACGAGCCACACCCAUGUCUAGCUAGAAUAGUGUGUUAGGCUCAGGCUAGAUAAGAAACAGGGAACAAAGUGAUGAAAGAAUGAUCAUACCAAGGGAAUUCACUCAGAACUAACAAGAACGAUAACAUGCUCCGACUGGAGUGGUUUAGGAACUGCUGGAAGGCUCUAGGGGAAUAAAGAUGGAAUGACUUCUAAUUUUUAGGUCUGUAUGAUUUGAAAUACUUGCACACAAACCGCACGAAAGCGUUCCUGGAAAUCUCAUCCCAAAAAAGGACGUUUAGUAAUUCUAAAAGGGACUACAGGAUGAAAAACAAUAGUUUUGGCAGUUAAAGUUUGAGAUUCGAUAAUGCUGUAGAUCCGUUUGGUCAUCAGGUGUAACGAGCCACACCCAUGUCUAGCUAGAGUAGUGUGCUAGGCUCAGACUAGAGAAGAAACGGGGAACAAACUGAUGAAAGAAUGAUCAUACCGAGGGAAUUCACUCAGAACUAACAAUAAUGAUAACGUGCUCCGACUGGAGCGGUUUAGGAACUGCUGGAAGGCUCUAGGGGAAUAAAGAUGGAAUGAGUUCUAAUUUUUAGGUCUGUAUGAUUUGAAAUACUUGCACACAAACCGCGUGAAAGCAUUCCUGGAAAUUUCAGCCCAAAAAAGGACGUUUAGUAAUUUUAAAAGGGACUACACGAUGAAAAACAAUAGUUUUGGCAGUUAAAGUUUGAGAUUCGACGGUGCCGUAGAUCCGUUUGGUCAUCAGGUGUUACGAGCCACACCCAUGUCUAGCUAGAAUAGUAUGUUAGGCUCGGGUAAGAGAAGAAACGGGGAACAAACUGAUGAAAGAAUGAUCAUACCAAGGGAAUUCACUCAGAACUAACAAGAAUGAUAACGUGCUCCGACUGGAGCGGUUUAGGAACUGCUGGAAGGCUCUAGGGGAAUAAAGAUGGAAUGACUUCUAAUUUUUACGUUCGUAUGAUUUGAAAUACUUGCACACAAACCACGCAAAAGCGUUCCUGGAAAUCUCAUCCUAAAAAAGGACGUUUAGUAAUUCUAAAAGGGACUACAGGAUGAAAAAUAAUAGUUUGGGCAGUUAAAAUUUGAGAUUCGACGGUGCCGUAGAUCCGUUUGGUCAUCAGGUGUUACGAGCCACACCCAUGUCUAGCUAGAAUAGUGUGUUAGGCUCAGGCUAGAGAAGAAACGGGGAACAAACUGAUGAAAGAAUGAUCAUAUCGAGGGAAUUCACUCAGAACUAACAAGAAUGAUAACGUGCUCCGACUGGAGCAGUUUAGAAACUGCUGGAAGGCUCUAGGGGAAUAAAGAUGGAAUGACUUCUAAUUUUUAGGUCUGUAUGAUUUGAAAUACGUGCACACGAACCCCGAGAAAGCGUUCCUGGAAAUCUCGGCCCAAAAAAGGACGUUUAGUAAUUCUAAAAGGGACUACAGGAUGAAAAACAAUAGUUUUGGCAGUUAAAGUUUGAGAUUCGACGGUGCCGUAGAUCCGUUUGUUCAUCAGGUGUUACGAGCCACACCCAUGUCUAGCUAGAAUAGUGUGUUAGGCUCAGGCUAGAGAAGAAACGGGGAACAAACUGAUGAAAGAAUGAUCAUACCGAGGGAAUUCACUCAGAACUAACAAGAAUGAUAACGUGCUCCGACUGGAGCGGUUUAGGAACUGCUAGAAGGCUCUAGGGGAAUAAAGAAGGAAUGACUUCUAAUUUUUAGGUCCGUAUGAUUUGAAAUACGUGCACACAAACCCCGAGAAAGCGUUCCUGGAAAUCUUGGCCCAAAAAAGGACGUUUAGUAUUCUAAAAGCGACUACAGAAUGAAAAACAAUAGUUUUGCUAGUUAAAGUUUGAGAUUUGAUGGUGCCGUAGAUCUGUUUGGUCAUCAGGUUUUACGAGCCACACCCAUGUCUAGCUAGAAUAGUGUGUUAGGCUCAGGCUAGAAAAGAAACAGGGAAUAAAGUGAUGAAAGAAUGAUCAUACCAAGGGAAUUCACUCAGAACUAACAAGAACGAUAACAUGCUCCGACUGGAGUGGUUUAGAACUGCUGGAAGGCUAAAGGGGAAUAAAGAUGGAAUGACUUCUAAUUUUUAGGUCCGUAUGAUUUGAAAUACUUGCACACAAACCGCACGAAAGUGUUCCUGGAAAUCUCAGCCCAAAAAAGGACGUUUAGUAAUUCUAAAAGGGACUACAGGAUGAAAAACAAUAGUUUUGGCAGUUAAAGUUUGAGAUUCGAUAAUGACGUAGAUCCGUUUGGUCAUCAGGUGUAACGAGCCACACCCAUGUCUAGCUAGAGUAGUGUGCUAGGCUCAGACUAGAGAAGAAACGGGGAACAAACUGAUGAAAGAAUGAUCAUACCGAGGGAAUUCACUCAGAACUAACAAUAAUGAUAACGUGCUCCGACUAGAGCGGUUUAGGAACUGCUGGAAGGCUCUAGGGGAAUAAAGAUGGAAUGACUUCUAAUUUUUAGGUCCCUAUGAUUUGAAAUACUUGCACACAAACCGCGUGAAAGCAUUCCUGGAAAUUUCAGCCCAAAAAAGGACGUUUAGUAAUUUUAAAAGGGACUACACGAUGAAAAAGAAUAGUUUUGGCAGUUAAAGUUUGAGAUUCGACGGUGCCGUAGAUCCGUUUGGUCAUCAGGUGUUACGAGACACACCCAUGUCUAGCUAGAAUAGUAUGUUAGGCUCGGGUUAGAGAAGAAACGGGGAACAAACUGAUGAAAGAAUGAUCAUACCAAGGGAAUUCACUCAGAACUAACAAGAAUGAUAACGUGCUCCGACUGGAGCGGUUUAGGAACUGCUGGAAGGCUCUAGGGGAAUAAAGAUGGAAUGACUUCUAAUUUUUACGUUCGUAUGAUUUGAAAUACUUGCAAACAAACCACGCAAAAGCGUUCCUGGAAAUUUCAUCCUAAAAAAGGACGUUUAGUAAUUCUAAAAGGGACUACAGGAUGAAAAAUAAUAGUUUGGGCAGUUAAAAUUUGAGAUUCGAUGGUGCCGUAGAUCCGUUUGGUCAUCAGGUGUUACGAGCCACACCCAUGUCUAGCUAGAAUAGUGUGUUAGGCUCAGGCUAGAGAAGAAACGGGGAACAAACUGAUGAAAGAAUGAUCAUAUCGAGGGAAUUCACUCAGAACUAACAAGAAUGAUAACGUGCUCCGACUGGAGCAGUUUAGAAACUGCUGGAAGGCUCUAGGGGAAUAAAGAUGGAAUGACUUCUAAUUUUUAGGUCUGUAUGAUUUGAAAUACGUGCACACAAACCCCGAGAAAGCGUUCCUGGAAAUCUCGUCCGGAAAAAGGAUGUUUAAUAAUUCUAAAAGGGACUACAGGAUGAAAAACAAUAGUUUUGGCAGUUAAAGUUUGUGAUUCGAUGGUGCCGUAGAUCUGUUUGGUCAUCAGGUGUUACGGGCCACACCCAUGUCUAGCUAGAAUAGUGUGUUAGGCUCAGGCUAGAGCAGAAACGGGGAGCAAACUUAUGAAAGAAUGAUCAUAGCGAGGGAAUUUACUCAGAACUAACAAGAAUGAUAACGUGCUCCGACUGGAGCGGUUUAGGAACUGCUGGAAGGCUCUAGGGGAAUAAAGAUGGAAUGACUUCAAAUUUUCAGGUAUGUAUGAUCUGAAAUACUUGCACACAAACCGCGAGAAAGCGUUCCUGGAAAUCUCAACCCAAAAAAGGAUGUUUAGUAAUUCUAAAAGGGACUACAGGAUUAAAAACAAUAGUUUUGGCAGUUAAAGUUUGAGAUUCGAUAAUGUCGUAGAUCCGUUUGGUCAUCAGGUGUAACGAGCCACACCCAUGUCUAGCUAGAGUAGUGUGCUAGGCUCAUACUAGAGAAGAAACGGGGAACAAACUGAUGAAAGAAUGAUCAUACCGAGGGAAUUCACUCAGAACUAACAAGAAUGAUAACGUGCUCCGACUGGAGCGGUUUAGGAACUGCUGGAAGGCUCUAGGGGAAUAAAGAUGGAAUGACUUCUUAUUUUUAGGUCCGUAUGAUUUGAAAUACAUGCACACAAACCCCAAGAAAGCGUUCCGGGAAAUCUCGGCCCAAAGAAUGAUGUUUAGUAAUUCUAAAAGGGACUAUAGAAUGAAAAACAAUAGUUUUGGCAGUUAAAGUUUGAGAUUUGACGGUGUCGUAGAUCUGUUUGGUCAUCAGGUGUUACGAGCCACACCCAUUUCUAGCUAGAAUAGUGUGUUAGGCUCAGGCUAGAAAAGAAACGGGGAACAAAGUGAUGAAAGAAUGAUCAUACCGAGGGAAUUCACUCAGAACUAACAAGAAUGAUAACAUGCUCCGACUAGAGCGGUUUAGGAACUGCUGGAAGGCUCUAGGGGAAUAAAUAUGGAAUGACUUCUAAUUUUCAGGUCCGUAUGAUUUGAAAUACUUGCACACAAACCGCGCGAAAGCGUUCCUGGAAAUCUCAUCCCAAAGAAGGUCGUUUAGUAAUUCUAAAAGGGACUACAGGAUGAAAAACAAUAGUUUUGGCAAUUUAAGGUUUGAGAUUCGACGGUGCCGUAGAUCCGUUUGGUCAUCAGGUGUUACGAGCCACACCCAUGUCUAGCUAGAAUAGUGUGCUAGGCUCAGGCUAGAGAAGAAACAGGGAACAAACUGAUGAAAGAAUGAUCAAACCGAGGGAAUUCACUCAGAACUAACAAUAAUGAUAACGUUCUCCGUCUGGAGCGGUUUAGGAACUGCUGGAAGGCUCUAGGGGAAUAAAGAUGGAAUGACUUCUAAUUUUUAGGUCCGUAUGAUUUGAAAUACUUGCACACAAACCGCGCCAAAUCGUUCCUGGAAAUCUCAGCCCAAAAAAGGACGUUUAGUAAUUCUAAAAGGGACUACAGGAUGAAAAACAAUAGUUUUGGCAGUUAAAGUUUGAGAUUCGAUGGUGCCGUAGACCCGUUUGGUCAUCAGGUGUUACGAGCCACACCCAUGUCUAGCUAGAGUAGUGUGCUAGGUUCAGACUAGAGAAGAAACAGGGAACAAAGUGAUGAAAGAAUGAUCAUACCGAGGGAAUUCACUCAGAACUAACAAGAAUGAUAACGUGCUCCGACUGGAGCGGUUUAGGAACUGCUGGAAGGCUCUAGGGGAAUAAAGAUGGAAUGACUUCUAAUUUUUACGUCCGUAUGAUUUGAAAUACUUGCACACAAACCACGCAAAAGCGUUCCUGGAAAUCUCAGCCUAAAAAAGGACGUUUAGUAAUUCAAAAAGGGACUACAAAAUGAAAAACAAUAGUUUUGGCAGUUAAAGUUUGAGAUUCGAUGGUGCCGUAGAUCCGUUUGGUCAUCAGGUGUUACGAGCCACACCCAUGUCUAGCUAGGAUAGUGUGUUAGGCUCAGGCUAGAGAAGAAACGGGGAACAAACUGAUGAAAGAAUGAUCAUACCGAGGGAAUUCACUCAGAACUAACAAGGAUGAUAACAUGCUCCGACUAGAGCGGUUUAGGAACUGCUGGAAGGCUCUAGGGGAAUAAAGAUGGAAUGACUUCUAAUUUUUAGGUCCGUAUGAUUUGAAAUACUUGCACACAAACCGCAAGAAAGCGUUCCUGGAAAUCUCAGCCCAAAAAAGGACGUUUAGUAAUUCUAAAAGGGACUACAGGAUGAAAAACAAUAGUUCUGGCAGUUAAAGUUUGAGAUUCGAUAAUGCCGUAGAUCUGUUUGGUCAUCAGGUGUAACGAGCCACACCCAUGUCUAGCUAGAGUAGUGUGCUAGGCUCAGACUAGAGAAGAAACGGGGAACAAACUGAUGAAAGAAUGAUUAUACCGAGGGAAUUCACUCAGAACUAACGAGAAUGAUAACGUGCUCCGACUGGAGCGGUUUAGGAACUGCUGGAAGGCUCUAGGGGAAUAAAGAUGGAAUGACUUCAAAUUUUUAGGUCUGUAUGAUUUGAAAUACUUGCACACAAACCGCAAGAAAGCGUUCCUUGAAAUCUCAGCCCAAAAAAGGACGUUUAGUAAUUCUAAAAGGGACUACAGGAUGAAAAACAAUAGUUCUGGCAGUUAAAGUUUGAGAUUCGAUAAUGUCGUAGAUCCGUUUGGUCAUCAGGUGUAACGAGCCACACCCAUGUCUAGCUAGAGUAGUGUGCUAGGCUCAGAAUAGAGAAGAAACGGGGAACAAACUGAUGAAAGAAUGAUCAUACCGAGGGAAUUCACUCAGAACUAACAAGAAUGAUAACGUGCUCCGACUGGAGCGGUUUAGGAACUGCUGGAAGGCUCUAGGGGAAUAAAGAAGGAAUGACUUCUAAUUUUUAGGUCCGUAUGAUUUGAAAUACGUGCACACAAACCGCGCGAAAGCGUUCCUGGAAAUCUCAGCCAAAAAAAGGACGUUUAGUAUUCUAAAAGGGACUACAGAAUGAAAAACAAUAGUUUUGGCAGUUAAAGUUUGAGAUUCGACGGUGCUGUAGAUCCGUUUGGUCAUCAGGUGUUACGAGCCACACCCAUGUCUAGCUAGAAUAGUGUGCUAGGCUCAGGCUAGAGAAGAAAAGGGGAACAAACUAAUGAAAGAAUGAUCAAUCCGAGGGAAUUCACUCAGAACUAACAAUAAUGAUAACGUGCUCCGACUGGAGCGGUUUAGGAACUGCUGGAAGGCUCUAGGCGAAUAAAGAUGGAAUGACUUCUAAUUUUUACGUCCGUAUGAUUUGAAAUACUUGCACACAAACCACGCAAAAGCGUUCCUGGAAGUCUCGGCCUAAAAAGGACGUUUAGUAAUUCUAAAAGGGACUACAGGAUGAAAAAUAAUAGUUUGGGCAGUUAAAAUUUGAGAUUCGACGGUGCCGUAGAUCCAUUUGGUCAUCAAGUGUUACGAGCCACACCCAUGUCUAGCUAGAAUAGUGUGUUAGGCUCAGGCUAGAGAAGAAACGGGGAACAAACUGAUGAAAGAAUGAUCAUACCAAGGGAAUUCACUCAGAACUAACAAGAAUGAUAACGUGCUCCGACUGGAGCAGUUUAGAAACUGCUGGAAGGCUCUUGGGGAAUAAAGAUGGAAUGACUUCAAAUUUUUAGGUCCGUAUGAUUUGAAAUACUUGCACACAAACCACGCGAAAGCGUUCCUGGAAAUCUCAGCCCAAAAAAGGACGUUUAGUAAUUCUAAAAGGGACUACAUGAUGAAAAACAAUAGUUUUGGCAGUUAAAGUUUGAGAAUCGUCGGUGCCGUAGAUCCGUUUGGUCAUCAGCUGUAACGAGCCACACCCAUGUCUAGCUAGAGUAGUGUGCUAGGCUCAGACUAGAGAAGAAACAGGGAACAAAGUGAUGAAAGAAUGAUCAUACCGAGGGAAUUCACUUAGAACUAACAAGAAUGAUAACAUGCUCCGACUUGAGCGAUUUAGGAACUUCUGGAAGGCUCUAGGGGAAUAAAGAUGGAAUGACUCAAAUUUUUAGGCCCGUAUGAUUUGAAAUACAUGCACACAAACCGCGAGAAAGUGUUCCUGGAAAUCUUAGCCCAAAAAAGGACGUUUAGUAAUUCUAAAAGGGACUACAGGAUGAAAAACAAUAGUUUUGGUAGUUAAAGUUUCAGAUUCGAUAAUGCCCUAGAUCCGUUUGGUCAUCAGGUGUAACGAGCCACACCAAUGUCUAGCUAGAGUAGUGUGCUAGGCUCAGACUAGAUAAGAAACGGGGAAGAAACUGAUGAAAGAAUGAUCAGACCGAGGGAAUUCACUCAGAACUAACAAUAAUGAUAACGUGCUCCGAGUGGAGCGGUUUAGGAACUGCUGGAAGGCUCUAGGGGAAUAAAGAUGGAAUGACUUCUAAUUUUUAGGUCCGUAUGAUUUGAAAUACGUGCACACAAACCCCGAGAAACCGUUCCUUGAAAUCUCGGCCCAAAAAAGGACGUUUAGUAAUUCUAAAAGGGACUACAAAAUGAAAAACAAUAGUUUUGGCAGUUAAAGUUUGAGAUUCGACGGUGUCGUAGACCCGUUUGGUCUUCAGGUGUUACGAGCCACACCCAUGUCUAGCCAGAGUAGUGUGCUAGGUUCAGACUAGAGAAGAAACGGGGAACAAAGUGAUGAAAGAAUGAUCAUACCGAGGGAAUUCACUCAGAACUAACAAGAAUGAUAACGUGCUCCGACUGGAGCGGGUUAGGAACUCCUGGAAGGCUCUAGGGGAAUAAAGAUGGAAUGACUUCUAAUUUUUACGUCCGUAUGAUUUGAAAUACUUGCACACAAACCACGCAAAAGCGUUCCUGGAAAUCUCAGCCUAAAAAAGGACGUUUAGUAAUUCUAAAAGGGACUACAGGAUGAAAAAUAAUAGUUUGGUCAUCAGGUGUUACGAGCCACACCCAUGUCUAGCUAGAAUAGUGUGCUAGGCUCAGGCUAGAGAAGAAACGGGGAAUAAACUGAUGAAAGAAUGAUCAAACCGAGGGAAUUCACUCAGAACUAACAAUAAUGAUAACGUUCUCCGUCUGGAGCGGUUUAGGAACUGCUGGAAGGCUCUAGGGGAAUAAAGAUGGAAUGACUUCUAAUUUUUAGGUCCGUAUGAUACGAAAUACUUGCACACAAACCGCGCGAAAUCGUUCCUGGAAAUCUCAGCCCAAAAAAGGACGUUUAGUAAUUCUAAAAGGGACUACAGCAUGAAAAACAAUAGUUCUGGCAGUUAAAGUUUGAGAUUCGAUAAUGCCGUAGAUCCGUUUGGUCAUCAGGUGUAACGAGCCACACCCAUGUCUAGCUAGAGUAGUAUGCUAGGCUCAGACUAGAGAAGAAACGGGGAACAAACUGAUGAAAGAAUGAUUAUACCGAGGGAAUUCACUCAGAACUAACAAGAAUGAUAACGUGCUCCGGCUGGAGCGGUUUAGGAACUGCUAGAAGGCUCUAGGGGAAUAAAGAUGGAAUGACUUCAAAUUUUUAGGUCUGUAUGAUUUGAAAUACUUGCACACAAACCGCAAGAAAGCGUUCCUGGAAAUCUCAGCCCAAAAAAGGACGUUUAGUAAUUCUAAAAGGGACUAUAGGAUGAAAAACAAUAGUUCUGGUAGUUAAAGUUUGAGAUUCGAUAAUGUCAUAGAUCCGUUCGGUCAUCAGGUGUAACGAGCCACACCCAUGUCUAGCUAGAGUAGUGUGCUAGGCUCAGACUAGAGAAGAAACGGGGAACAAACUGAUGAAAGAAUGAUCAUACCGAGGGAAUUCACUCAGAACUAACAAGAAUGAUAACGUGCUCCGACUGGAGCGGUUUAGGAACUGCUGGAAGGCUCUAGGGGAAGAAAGAAGGAAUGACUUCUAAUUUUUAGGUCCGUAUGAUUUGAAAUACGUGCACACAAACCGCGCGAAAGCGUUCCUGGAAAUCUCAGCCCAAAAAAGGACGUUUAGUAUUCUAAAAGGGACUACAGAAUGAAAAACAAUAGUUUUGGCAGUUAAAGUUUGAGAUUCGACGGUGCCGUAGAUCCGUUUGGUCAUCAGGUGUUACGAGCCACACCCAUGUCUAGCUAGAAUAGUGUGCUAGGCUCAGGCUAGAGAAGAAAAGGGGAACAAACUGAUGAAAGAAUGAUCAAACCGAGGGAAUUCACUCAGAACUAACAAUAAUGAUAACGUGCUCCGACUGGAGCGGUUUAGGAACUGCUGGAAGGCUCUUGGCGAAUAAAGAUGGAAUGACUUCUAAUUUUUACGUCCGUAUGAUUUGAAAUACUUCCACACAAACCAGGCAAAGGCGUUCCUGGAAAUCUCGGCCUAAAAAGGACGUUUAGUAAUUCUAAAAGGGACUACAGGAUGAAAAAUAAUAGUUUGGGCAGUUAAAAUUUUAGAUUCGACGGUGCCGUAGAUCCGUUUGGUCAUCAGGUGUUACGAGCCACACCCAUGUCUAGCUAGAAUAGUGUGUUAGGCUCAGGCUAGAGAAGAAACGGGGAACAAACUGAUGAAAGAAUGAUCAUACCAAGGGAAUUCACUCAGAACUAACAAGAAUGAUAACGUGCUCCGACUGGAGCAGUUUAGAAACUACUGGAAGGCUCUAGGGGAAUAAAGAUGGAAUGACUUCAAAUUUUUAGGUCCGUAUGAUUUGAAAUACUUGCACACAAACCGCGCGAAAGCGUUCCUGGAAAUCUCAGCCCAAAAAAGGACGUUUAGUAAUUCUAAAAGGGACUACAUGAUGAAAAACAAUAGUUUUGGCAGUUAAAGUUUGAGAUUCGUCGGUGCCGUAGAUCCGUUUGGUCAUCAGCUGUAACGAGCCACACCCAUUUCUAGCUAGAGUAGUGUGCUAGGCUCAGACUAAAGAAGAAAUGGGGAACAAAGUGAUGAAAGAAUGCUCAUACCGAGGGAAUUCACUCAGAACUAACAAGAAUGAUAACAUGCUCCGACUUGAGCGAUUUAGGAACUUCUGGAAGGCUCUAGGGGAAUAAAGAUGGAAUGACUCAAAUUUUUAGGUCCGUAUGAUUUGAAAUACUUGCACACAAACCGCGAGAAAGCGUUCCUGGAAAUCUCAGCCCAAAAAAGGACGUUUAGUAAUUCUAAAAGGGACUACAUGAUGAAAAACAAUAGUUUUGGCAGUUAAAGUUUGAGAUUUGAUAAUGCCGUAGAUCCGUUUGGUCAUCAGGUGUAACGAGCCACACCCAUGUCUAGCUAGAGUAGUGUGCUAGGCUAAGACUAGAUAAGAAAAGGGGAAGAAACUUAUGAAAGAAUGAUCAGACCGAGGGAAUUCACUCAGAACUAACAAUAAUGAUAACGUGCUCCGACUGGAGCGGUUUAGGAACUGCUGGAAGGCUCUAGGGGAAUAAAGAUGGAAUGACUUCUAAUUUUUAGGUCCGUAUGAUUUGAAAUACGUGCACACAAACCCCGAGAAACCGUUCCUGGAAAUCUCGGCCCAAAAAAGGAUGUUUAGUAAUUCUAAAAGGGACUACAAAAUGAAAAACAAUAGUUUUGGCAGUUAAAGUUUGAGAUUUGAUGGUGCCGUAGAUCUGUUUGGUCAUCAGGUGUUACGAGCCACACCCAUGUCUAGCUAGAAUAGUGUGUUAGGCUCAGGCUAGAAAAGAAACGGGAAACAAAGUGAUGAAAGAAUGAUCAUACCGAGGGAAUUCACUCAGAACUAACAAGAAUGAUAACAUGCUCUGACUGGAGCGGUUUAGGAACUGCUGGAAGGCUCUAGGGGAAUAAAGAUGGAAUGACUUCUAAUGUUUAGGUCCGUAUGAUUUGAAAUACUUGCACAUAAACCGCGCAAAAGCGUUCCUGGAAAUCUCAGCCCAAAAAAGGACGUUUAGUAAUUCUAAAAGGGACUACAGGAUGAAAAACAAUAGUUUUGGCAGUUAAAGUUUGAGAUUCGACGGUGCCGUAGAUCCGUUUGUUCAUCAGGUGUUACGAGCCACACCCAUGUCUAGCUAGAAUAGUGUGUUAGGCUCAGGCUAGAGAAGAAACGGGGAACAAACUGAUGAAAGAAUGAUCAAACCGAGGGAAUUCACUCAGAACUAACAAUAAUGAUAACGUGCUCCGACUAGAGCGGUUUAGGAACUGCUGGAAGGCUCUAGGGGAAUAAAGAUGGAAUGACUUCUAAUUUUUAGGUCUGUAUGAUUUGAAAUACUUGCACGCAAACCGCGCGAAAGCGUUCCCGGAAAUAUCAGCCUAAAGAAGGACGUUUAGUAAUUCUAAAAGGGACUACAGGAUGAAAAACAAUAGUUUUGGCAGUUAAAGUUUGAGAUUCAACGGUGCCGUAGAUCCGUUUGGUCAUCAGGUGUUACGAGCCACACCCAUGUCUAGCUAGAGUAGUGUGCUAGGCUCAGGCUAGAGAAGAAACAGGGAACAAACUGAUGAAAGAAUGAUCAUACCGAGGGAAUUCACUCAGAACUGAUGAAAGAAUGAUCAAACCAAGGAAAUUCACUCAGAACUAACAAUAAUGAUAACAUGCUCCGACUGGAGCGGUUUAGGAACUGCUGGAAGGCUCUAGGGGAAUAAAGAUGGAAUGACUUCUAAUUUUUAGGUCCGUAUGAUUUGAAAUACGUGCACACAAACCCCGAGAAACCGUUCCUGGAAAUCUCGGCCCAAAAAAGGACGUUUAGUAAUUCUAAAAGGGACAACAAAAUGAAAAACAAUAGUUUUGGCAGUUAAAGUUUGAGAUUCGACGGUGCCGUAGACCCGUUUGGUCAUCAGGUGUUACGAGCCACACCCAUGUCUAGCUAGAGUAGUGUGCUAGGUUCAGACUAGAGAAGAAACGGGGAACAAAGUGAUGAAAGAAUGAUCAUACCGAGGGAAUUCACUCAGAACUAACAAGAAUGAUAACGUGCUCCGACUGGAGCGGGUUAGGAAUUGCUGGAAGGCUCUAGGGGAAUAAAGAUAGAAUGACUUCUAAUUUUUACGUCCGUAUGAUUUGAAAUACUUGCACACAAACCACGCAAAAGCGUUCCUAGAAAUCUCAGCCUAAAAAAGGACGUUUAGUAAUUCUAAAAGGGACUACAGGAUGAAAAAUAAUAGUUUGGCCAGUUAAAAUUUAAGAUUCGACGGUGCCGUAGAUCCGCUUGGUCAUCAGGUGUUACGAGCCACACCCAUGUCUAGCUAGAAUAGUGUGUUAGGCUCAGGCUAGAGAAGAAACGGGGAACAAACUGAUGAAAGAAUGAUCAUACCGAGGG
This 37485-nucleotide long non-coding RNA is filed under the name Triticum aestivum (bread wheat). RNAcentral's name for it is "long non-coding RNA (TAES_LNC019907)". Lineage: Eukaryota; Viridiplantae; Streptophyta; Magnoliopsida; Poales; Poaceae. The record is from RNAcentral.